GCAACCCUUAAGCUUAGUUGCCAUCAUUAAGUUGGGCACUCUAAGUUGACUGCCGGUGACAAACCGGAGGAAGGUGGGGAUGACGUCAAAUCAUCAUGCCCCUUAUGAUUUGGGCUACACACGUGCUACAAUGGACAAUACAAAGGGCAGCGAAACCGCGAGGUCAAGCAAAUCCCAUAAAGUUGUUCUCAGUUCGGAUUGUAGUCUGCAACUCGACUACAUGAAGCUGGAAUCGCUAGUAAUCGUAGAUCAGCAUGCUACGGUGAAUACGUUCCCGGGUCUUGUACACACCGCCCGUCACACCACGAGAGUUUGUAACACCCGAAGCCGGUGGA
RNAcentral lists this ribosomal RNA (335 nucleotides) under Staphylococcus aureus. Its description in RNAcentral is "bacterial SSU rRNA". It matches the Rfam family "Bacterial small subunit ribosomal RNA", at positions 1098 to 1434 of the family's 1533-position model. Lineage: Bacteria; Bacillati; Bacillota; Bacilli; Caryophanales; Staphylococcaceae. The record is from RNAcentral.